CUUUCCCUAGUUGAUUUCCCAACAGCUAAAAACCCACCCAUUUAUCUUCUCAGUUGACUUUGUUGUUGACUUCCAUGACGACGUGAAGAUGUGCUCAGGGCUAAUUUUGUGCUGAUGACAUACCACAAAUAAUUUUGCUCUGACGGUGGAGAUGAGAUACAGGGUGCUUGCUGCAAUUCUCUCUUCCACAGUGUGCCAGGGCAACACUAAUCCUAUUCUUUGCACAGCUAUUUGGACCAUCACUGCAUGACUAUUUGGACCAUCAUUGCAUGGCUAUUUGGACCAUCAUUGCAUGGCUAUUUGGACCAUUGUUGCAUGGCUAUUUGGAUCAUCGUUGCAUGGCUAUUUGGAUCAUCGUUGCAUGACUUUUUGGACCAUCGUUGCAUGACUAUUUGGACCAUUGUUGCCCAGCUAUUUGGACCACCAUCAUGGCCAUGGUUUCUCCUCCAAGCAGGGAGACGUUGAUACAAGAAUCACAGGCGAUGGAGGGCAUCUGAGGCCUGAUUUACCUGCAGUGAUAUUCCAUGCCAGUGAGUGCUAUUGAAGUGCAUUCAUCUUAUCUGCCCCUGAAGGGACUGUGGGGUUAACCUACUGCAGAUCAAACACAGCUAUUGUGCAAACAGGCAAAGUAUUUCCUGGCUAUCUUCACCUCUAGUUGCUGGGUAACAUCAAACACUCACAUACUCGCACUUGAUGAGCUAUCCAGGCCCCACCAACCCAUCUCCACUGCUGCUGUGGGAAAGGGCAUGGAGAAAGAGGUGGAAAUACACAGUCCGUAGUGGAAAAACAGCUCUGCAAGUUCUCCCUUUGUUAUUUUGGCAAAAUAACAAAGCCCGAGGGGACACUUGCAAUCAACUCUCUGCACCCUUACUGGAGGCACAAAGGCUUGGAGAAAGAACGAGGAAGAAAGCGCCUUAAUGAAAACAUUCUCAGGACAAACACAGGAAAACACAGCUCUCCCUCCUGUUUGUCCUGCAUUCCCCGAGUAUCUGAACAAGCAAAACAAUUGUGUGUCCCCCGCCACGCUUCCUUCCCCUGGCCUGGCGCUGGUUGGAUGCUGCGGGCAUUGGGAUUUACCCAUGCGCGGACAGACAGACAGCAUAGCGUUGGUAGGAGACUUCUAGAUAAUGCUGGCCAUGCUUCUUGGCCUUGUUUUCUUCUGCAAAAUGGAGGUUGCAACACCAACCUGCAGGCCUUGCUCCAUCCCAGUGUGGCAUUGGUUCCGUCACGGAUUUAUGAGAUGUUUGUUGCUCUUCUCCAAAAUCUGACUAUGGAAGCAUCCCGGAGCACUGGGAACUGCACGCAUUUCCCCAGAUGCAGUCCUGAAAUUGAUACGAAACUUCCUUCCCUCGGUUGCUCUGUGACUCUUUGGGCAUUGCCUGUAGCAGCAGAAGUGCUGCUGGCAAGGGAGGACGGGUUUGCUGCUCCUCAUUCCUGACACAAUCACAGAAUCCUCCCUGCACAGCUGCUGCCGGCAGCUGGAAAAGGAAGCUGUGCCCAGCCCAGCACUCCCCCACGUCUGCAUUGGGUUCAGCUGGCAACGCUGGAGAAAAAUCCCGAAAAUGUGCAAACUGCAGUUCUUUUUGGGGAUAUUUUACUCAGCAAAUGUUCCUGGGGACGGUAAAAGGCGAGAUCCUGGCUGACAGCGGGAGCAGCUGCUGUGUUUCUGGAACCUCAAGUGUCAGAAGAAUAAUUCCUCCCGGUGCCAAAACAAAAUAGUCUUCCCCUAUCCUUGCACACGGACGAACUAUUUCUGCUGGAAUUACAAGGAGACCAUCCCUAGGCAGACGCCCAAGCACGCAGCAUUUCCUCCUGCCUGUUUAAAGUCUGGUGGAGUCACAAGGGCCGACGCUCGGGGCUCUGCUCUGUGUCUCCGAUACCUGCAGGGAAAAGCAUGGAAACGCGUCCUAAUGCUCAGCGAGUGGGUGAAUAAAGUGCACCAUCAGAGGUGUUUUCUUUGGGUUUCGGGGUAGUGAUGGCUUGGGAGGAUGUCUGGCUGUGGAACGCC
Molecule: long non-coding RNA, 2008 nt
Organism: Gallus gallus (chicken)
Lineage: Eukaryota; Metazoa; Chordata; Aves; Galliformes; Phasianidae
Source: Ensembl